RNAcentral lists this ribosomal RNA (253 nucleotides) under uncultured bacterium. Its description in RNAcentral is "partial 16S ribosomal RNA". It matches the Rfam family "Bacterial small subunit ribosomal RNA", at positions 524 to 776 of the family's 1533-position model. The record is from RNAcentral.
UACAUGGGGUGCAAACGUUGCUCGGAAUUAUUGGGCGUAAAGCGCGCGCAGGCGGUCCUUUAAGUCUGAUGUGAAAUCCCACGGCUCAACCGUGGAGGGUCAUUGGAAACUGGGGGACUUGAGUGCAGAAGAGGAAAGCGGAAUUCCACGUGUAGCGGUGAAAUGCGUAGAGAUGUGGAGGAACACCAGUGGCGAAGGCGGCUUUCUGGUCUGUAACUGACGCUGAGGCGCGAAAGCGUGGGGAGCAAACAGG